GGGCGCGUAGUCUAGCCAGGAUAGGGCGCCAGCCUUCGGAGUUGGAUGUCCCCGGUUCGAAUCCGGGCGCGCCCGCCA
RNAcentral lists this transfer RNA (78 nucleotides) under Candidatus Thorarchaeota archaeon. RNAcentral's name for it is "tRNA-Arg". It matches the Rfam family "tRNA". From Rfam's summary of the family: Transfer RNA (tRNA) molecules are approximately 80 nucleotides in length. Their secondary structure includes four short double-helical elements and three loops (D, anti-codon, and T loops). The record is from RNAcentral. Lineage: Archaea; Promethearchaeati; Candidatus Thorarchaeota. RNAcentral also lists the same sequence under 1 other name.